RNAcentral lists this ribosomal RNA (472 nucleotides) under uncultured bacterium. RNAcentral's name for it is "SSU rRNA". It matches the Rfam family "Bacterial small subunit ribosomal RNA", at positions 26 to 507 of the family's 1533-position model. The record is from RNAcentral.
AGGAUGAACGCUGGCGGCGUGCCUAACACAUGCAAGUCGAACGCGCUCCAUUCGGUAGCAAUACUGAUGAAGAGUGAGUGGCGAACGGGUGAGUAACACAUGAGCAACCUGCCCCGAAGACCGGGACAACACCGGGAAACCGGUGCUAAUACCGGAUAUCCCUAUCGGACCGCAUGAUCUGAUAAGGAAAUGGAUUCCGCUUCGGGAGGGGCUCGUGGCCUAUCAGCUAGUUGGUGAGGUAAUAGCUCACCAAGGCAUCGACGGGUAGCUGGUCUGAGAGGACGAUCAGCCACACUGGGACUGAGACACGGCCCAGACUCCUACGGGAGGCAGCAGUGGGGAAUCUUGCGCAAUGGGCGAAAGCCUGACGCAGCAACGCCGCGUGGAGGACGAAUGCUUUCUGAGUUGUAAACUCCUUUCAGCAGGGACGAUUGUGACGGUACCUGCAGAAGAAGCACCGGCCAACUACGUG